GUGUUUGCUUUGGCAGCACACACGCUAACGCUGAAGCAAUGCAGAGAAGAUUAGCAUGGGCCCUGUGCAAGGAUGACAUGCAAAUUUGUGAAACAUUCCAUAUAGUU
Molecule: small nuclear RNA, 107 nt
Organism: Cervus hanglu yarkandensis (Yarkand deer)
Lineage: Eukaryota; Metazoa; Chordata; Mammalia; Artiodactyla; Cervidae
Source: Ensembl